CUUAGCACCCCCUACCUACUUACAUAGGAAAGGAUUCAGAGGCCACAGCCUACCAAGAACUUUUUGCAGCCUUGAGAACUGGGAAGAGACACAGUUCCCCCCCUUGAAAACAAAUACUGGAACAAACAAGACUAAGUUAUUUAAUGGAAAACAUCCACAAACGCACAAUAACUUUUAAAUGAAAAUGUGAAUAAAGCUGCAUGCAACUGUGUACUUCGGAGGCUGCCAUGGGAGCAACCUUCCCUUCAAGACCAAGCUCCUUGUGACUCCUGGCAGUGUGCAAGCACGCAGUCUCUGCGCGUUAGGCAUCCCUCCCCAGGAGAGGAAAACACCUCGUAACCCAGAUGCUUCUUACUUUAAAAGAACGGCAUAAUAAAUAUUAAAAACUAAAGCUUAACCCUUGCCUCCCUAAAAAGCAGAGACAAGAGAGCAAAGGGAGAAGAACGAGGAAGAACCAGAGCGCGGUACCUACCCAAAACAAACCCUACAGCAAGCAACAGCAACCCAACCACCUGAGACCUACAGGGCGAGGAACUGCAACAUCCAUUUACCCACGGCGUGCGGCGAGGAGCGCUGCGGGGCGGCAUGGCUCAGGGACACCUUAAAUUCCCAGCCGCUGCCUUUAAAGGCAACCCAGGGCCUUCACUCCGCUGUUGCUCUUUGUGCAGCCGGCGAGGAGGAGGAGGAGGCGGCGGUGGGGGGGGAAGGAGGAAGCAGCGCAACCGGCUCGCAACGCGGAGCGGGUCUCGCAGCGCUUCCCCGUCUUCUACCCCGGGCGGGGGUCGAACCCGCGGCCCCUGGCGCAGGGGCGCACGUGCGCGCAGGCUUUUAUCACCAUCUGUGUGCAAACUCUCCAGCAGAAAUUCCGUGAUCUGGAAUGAUUUGGUCUGAUGUCAUAAGAAGCAUCUGCUCUGCACACCUUAGGAAGCGCAAAGAGGAAAAAGACCAGAGGAUGGAGCCUUCCCGGUCACUCAGUCCUAUCAAAGCCACUGCCUCCUGUGCGGACGUGAGGACACAACCCAUGUCCUUCACCUUUACAGGUGCAGGGCCUGCAUUUCUUCACUCUUUUCCUUGGAUGACUCAGAGCAGGGAUUAUUAGGAGCUCACAUUUCCUCGGCUAAAGUGCUUUGUUAAGCACUUCGUACACCCAGGUUAAAUCGAAGCAGCGUUUCUGAUCUGUGUAAGCUUUUGACUUGGUCCUGCAUCUUUGGCGUGUACAAAACACACAGCGUUUGAACUCUCCCUGCUCUGUUUCUUAAAUGGCAGCAGAAACUUUUUGUGUUUAAACAAAACAAUGCAGCCUCCCCCUGCAAUGUUUGUAACCAAGGAACUGGGGCAUCACAGGAGCAUGAGAAAACCUCGCUGAUUAAAACCAGGGAAAGAACUGACAGCGAAAGUGAUCUUUGUGGGGGUUUUUUCUCAUGGCAGAAUUCACAAUGAAGUGGCUGGUAAAAUGGGAGCAGCUGCUUCAGCCCUGCCUGUGCUGAACGCUGUCUUUAAUGCGCUGAAACUGCUUCCGCUGGUGUGUGGGGCCGGGCAUCUGCUUUAGAUGCAAAAACUCGAACUUUGGUGUGAUAAUUUGAUUUCUCCUGUUAAAAGACAUCUCGUAGCAAGAGCUUUCCCCCCACCUCUCACUGCUUUCACAAAGCAAAGUAAGUUUGUGCUAUUAUCAGCUUCCCUUGCCUCAUUUUUCUCUCCUUCUUGCGUCUCACUAAUACACAAGUGGUAUUAAAUAAAUAAUAAUGAUGCCAGUAGUGGCCUCUGCCGGGCCUCGGCGUUUGCUCCUUUUUGCUUCGA
Molecule: long non-coding RNA, 1797 nt
Organism: Strigops habroptila (Kakapo)
Lineage: Eukaryota; Metazoa; Chordata; Aves; Psittaciformes; Psittacidae
Exons: 2
Source: RefSeq, a predicted model, not a curated record